RNAcentral lists this ribosomal RNA (800 nucleotides) under uncultured ciliate. RNAcentral describes it as "SSU rRNA". It matches the Rfam family "Eukaryotic small subunit ribosomal RNA", at positions 1 to 822 of the family's 1831-position model. Lineage: Eukaryota; Ciliophora. The record is from RNAcentral.
AACCUGGUUGAUCCUGCCAGUAGUCAUAUGCUUGUCUCAAAGACUAAGCCAUGCAUGUCUAAGUAUAAAUGGUAUACAGUGAAACUGCGAAUGGCUCAUUAAAACAGUUAUAGUUUAUUUGGUAAUCGAAUUUACAUGGAUAACCGUGGUAAUUCUAGAGCUAAUACAUGCUGUAAGCCCGACUUUUCGGAAGGGCCGUAUUUAUUAGAUAACAGACCAAUGCCCCCCCGGGCUUUGUGGUGACUCAUAGUAACUAAUCGGAUCGCAUGGGCCUGUCCCGCGACAAACCAUUCAAGUUUCUGCCCCAUCAGCUUUCGAUGGUAGUGUAUUGGACUACCAUGGCUUUUACGGGUAACGGAGGAUUAGGGUUCGAUUCCGGAGAGGGAGCCUGAGAAACGGCUACCACAUCUAAGGAAGGCAGCAGGCGCGUAAAUUACCCAAUCCUAAUUCAGGGAGGUAGUGACAAGAAAUAAUGGGUCGGAACUAACGUUCCGGGACCGCAAUGAGAUGAAUUUACACCCCUUUUCGAGGAUCAAUUGGAGGGCAAGUCUGGUGCCAGCAGCCGCGGUAAUUCCAGCUCCAAUAGCGUAUAUUAAAGUUGUUGCAGUUAAAAAGCUCGUAGUUGGAUUUCUGGCAGGGAGUAGAUGCCCGUGUGAUACGUGCGCAGAUACCCCCUGCCAUCCUUCUGUUAACCCUCCAGAUCUUAACUGCUCUGUUGGGAGCCCAGAUAUUUUACCUUGAGAAAAUUAGAGUGUUUCAGGCAGGCUAGCGCCGGAAUACAUUAGCAUGGAAUAAUAGAA